RNAcentral lists this transfer RNA (73 nucleotides) under bacterium M00.F.Ca.ET.157.01.1.1. Its description in RNAcentral is "tRNA-Lys". RNAcentral also lists the same sequence under 2 other names. The record is from RNAcentral.
GGGUGCAUAUAAAAGCUAAGCGCGCAAACUCUUAAUCAGCGGGUCCACAGUUCGAUCCUGUGCACACCCACCA